CCAUGAUACCAAAUCUAAAAUCUCUUGCUUUGGUAAAUGUUGGUUCAUGGGGUGAUGCAGAAGGUGAAAAGGCCAACACAAAGAUAAAAAACAUUCGUCAGAACUUUGCAAGAUGUAUUCGUGAACUUAGCAGUGAUGAAGAUGUAAGAAUUAUUGAAAUUGAAUGCUGCAAUUUCCUAAAAGUUGUUGCUGAAGCUGCAAUGUUUGGAGCAUUUGAGAGAAAUGAGCAAAAUUUUCCAAGCAAUUGUUAUUUCUUUGAUUCAUGCUCUCAGAUUUUGCCUGUACAGUUUCAAAUAUUUUGUGAUUUUC
This is a long non-coding RNA of Uloborus diversus, 309 nucleotides long. RefSeq lists it as uncharacterized. The record is from RefSeq and is a predicted model, not a curated record. Lineage: Eukaryota; Metazoa; Arthropoda; Arachnida; Araneae; Uloboridae. The transcript has 3 exons.